CAGCAGCCGCGGGAAUACGAAGGGGGCUAGCGUUGUUCGGAUUUACUGGGCGUAAAGGGCGCGUAGGCGGGCUGAUAAGUCGGGGGUGAAAUCCCAAGGCUCAACCUUGGAACUGCCUUUGAUACUGUUGGUCUUGAGUCCGGGAGAGGUGAGUGGAACUGCGAGUGUAGAGGUGAAAUUCGUAGAUAUUCGCAAGAACACCAGUGGCGAAGGCGGCUCACUGGCCCGGAACUGACGCUGAGGCGCGAAAGCGUGGGGAGCAAACAGGAUUAGAUACCCCCGUAGUCCCUGUCUCUUAUAC
Molecule: ribosomal RNA, 301 nt
Filed under: uncultured bacterium
Lineage: Bacteria
Description: partial 16S ribosomal RNA
Rfam family: Bacterial small subunit ribosomal RNA
Source: RNAcentral